Cicer arietinum (chickpea) is the source of this 673-nucleotide long non-coding RNA. RefSeq lists it as uncharacterized. The record is from RefSeq and is a predicted model, not a curated record. Lineage: Eukaryota; Viridiplantae; Streptophyta; Magnoliopsida; Fabales; Fabaceae.
UAUUCCUUUCAUUUUCUUAGUCUCCUUCUUUCUCCCAUGUCUCGCGCUCUCUCUAAACUCUCCCCCAAAUCUUUAUUCUCCAAAUCGUUCUAACUCACUAUAACCAAGAUUACUGCUAGCUAGCCUAUUGCCUAGAGCCAAGCUUCGACUGCGACUGCUUGUCACUUUUGGGCGCCUUCUUCCAUCACUCGAGAAAUUCAGCACCGUCAAAGAUCUCUUGAUUCCUCGCGGCCGGGUUGGCUUGGAAGCAAGCUACAUGUCGCCUAUCUCAACCCGUUUCUUAUUAUUAGUAAGAUAGGUUGCCCCUUGCUCUUUGCUCCAGGUUGGGCACUCUAUUGGUUCUUACAUAUUUGUUGGAAUAUCACUUUCUUCCCACAAGUGUGUUAGUUUUGCAUCAAAGAUUGCAGGGGUUUAGGAUCUUGGCAUGUUAGGUCGUGGCCGUGGAGAAGAGAUUGGAACAAAUGUUGAAGAACUCAUGACAAGUGAACUUUUUGGGAAUGUGAAAGAUAUAUGUCUUGUAGGAAUAUUAUCAUGUGAUAGAUAUAUAUGUUUUGUAGAUAUAUUUCUUGUUUAAACUUAAAUUUUAUCUGUAUUAUUGAGUACUUAGAAAUAUUACUUAAAUGUAAUAUAUCUUUUAUAUACAAUGAUAUGAUUAAUGCUUUUAAAUGAUUGA